This 323-nucleotide ribosomal RNA is filed under the name Fundulus heteroclitus (mummichog). Its description in RNAcentral is "partial 12S ribosomal RNA". It matches the Rfam family "Bacterial small subunit ribosomal RNA", at positions 868 to 1360 of the family's 1533-position model. The record is from RNAcentral. Lineage: Eukaryota; Metazoa; Chordata; Actinopteri; Cyprinodontiformes; Fundulidae.
UCCGCCUGGGUACUACGAGCGUAAGCUUAAAACCCAAAGGACUUGGCGGUGCUUUAGAUCCACCUAGAGGAGCCUCUUCUAGAACCGAUAAUCCCCGUUAAACCUCACCCCCUCUGGUCAUCCCCGCCUAUAUACCGCCGUCGUCAGCCCACCCUGUGAAGGAACUAUAGUGAGCUUAAUUGGUAGAGCCCAAAACGCCAGGUCAAGGUGUAGCAUAUGAGGGGGGAAGAAAUGGGCUACAUUUCCUGAUUAAGGAAAUACGGAUUGUAUUAUGAAAAAUUACAUGAAGGAGGAUUUAGUAGUAAGUGAAAACAGAGUGUUUC